UAGGGAAUCUUCGGCAAUGGACGAAAGUCUGACCGAGCAACGCCGCGUGAGUGAAGAAGGUUUUCGGAUCGUAAAACUCUGUUGUUAGAGAAGAACAAGGACGUUAGUAACUGAACGUCCCCUGACGGUAUCUAACCAGAAAGCCACGGCUAACUACGUGCCAGCAGCCGCGGUAAUACGUAGGUGGCAAGCGUUGUCCGGAUUUAUUGGGCGUAAAGCGAGCGCAGGCGGUUUCUUAAGUCUGAUGUGAAAGCCCCCGGCUCAACCGGGGAGGGUCAUUGUAAACUGGGAGACUUGAGUGCAGAAGAGGAGAGUGGAAUUCCAUGUGUAGCGGUGAAAUGCGUAGAUAUAUGGAGGAACACCAGUGGCGAAGGCGGCUCUCUGGUCUGUAACUGACGCUGAGGCUCGAAAGCGUGGGGAGCAAACAGG
Molecule: ribosomal RNA, 429 nt
Filed under: Chloroflexota bacterium
Lineage: Bacteria; Bacillati; Chloroflexota
Also listed under: 1 other name
Description: Chloroflexi bacterium partial 16S ribosomal RNA
Rfam family: Bacterial small subunit ribosomal RNA
Source: RNAcentral